UAAUUGAAGAGUUUGAUCAUGGCUCAGAUUGAACGCUGGCGGCAGGCCUAACACAUGCAAGUCGAACGGUAGCACAGGGGAGCUUGCUCCCCGGGUGACGAGUGGCGGACGGGUGAGUAAUGUCUGGGAAACUGCCCGAUGGAGGGGGAUAACUACUGGAAACGGUAGCUA
Molecule: non-coding RNA, 171 nt
Filed under: Erwinia mallotivora
Lineage: Bacteria; Pseudomonadati; Pseudomonadota; Gammaproteobacteria; Enterobacterales; Erwiniaceae
Description: Bacterial small subunit ribosomal RNA
Rfam family: Bacterial small subunit ribosomal RNA
Source: Rfam by way of RNAcentral